CACCUACGGGUGUGAAGUCAUUGAUGCCAUGCUUCCAGGAAAAGCCUCUAAGCUUCAGAUUGUAAGGAAUCGUACCCCAAACCGACACAGGUGGUCGGGUAGAGAAUACCAAGGCGCUUGAGAGAACUCGGGUGAAGGAACUAGGCAAAAUGGUACCGUAACUUCGGGAGAAGGUACGCUCUUGAUGGUGAAGUCCCUCGCGGAUGGAGCUGAUGAGAGUCGCAGAUACCAGGUGGCUGCAACUGUUUAUUAAAAACACAGCACUGUGCAAAAUCGUAAGAUGACGUAUACGGUGUGACGCCUGCCCGGUGCCGGAAGGUUAAUUGAUGGGGUUAGCGUAAGCGAAGCUCUUGAUCGAAGCCCCGGUAAACGGCGGCCGUAACUAUAACGGUCCUAAGGUAGCGAAAUUCCUUGUCGGGUAAGUUCCGACCUGCACGAAUGGCGUAAUGAUGGCCACGCUGUCUCCACCCGAGACUCAGUGAAAUUGAAAUCGCUGUGAAGAUGCAGUGUACCCGCGGCUAGACGGAAAGACCCCGUGAACCUUUACUACAGCUUGGCACUGAACAUUGAACCUACAUGUGUAGGAUAGGUGGGAGGCUUUGAAGACGUGACGCUAGUUGCGUUGGAGCCGUCCUUGAAAUACCACCCUUGUAUGUUUGAUGUUCUAACUUAGCCCCGUUAUCCGGGGUGAGGACAGUGCCUGGUGGGUAGUUUGACUGGGGCGGUCUCCUCCCAAAGAGUAACGGAGGAGCACGAAGGUGGGCUAAUCACGGUUGGACAUCGUGAGGUUAGUGCAAUGGCAUAAGCCCGCUUAACUGCGAGAAUGACGGUUCGAGCAGGUGCGAAAGCAGGUCAUAGUGAUCCGGUGGUUCUGUAUGGAAGGGCCAUCGCUCAACGGAUAAAAGGUACUCCGGGGAUAACAGGCUGAUACCGCCCAAGAGUUCAUAUCGACGGCGGUGUUUGGCACCUCGAUGUCGGCUCAUCACAUCCUGGGGCUGAAGUCGGUCCCAAGGGUAUGGCUGUUCGCCAUUUAAAGUGGUACGCGAGCUGGGUUUAGAACGUCGUGAGACAGUUCGGUCCCUAUCUGCCGUGGGCGUUGGAAGAUUGAAGGGGGCUGCUCCUAGUACGAGAGGACCGGAGUGGACGAACCUCUGGUGUUCGGGUUGUGUCGCCAGACGCAUUGCCCGGUAGCUAAGUUCGGAAUCGAUAACCGCUGAAAGCAUCUAAGCGGGAAGCGAGC
RNAcentral lists this ribosomal RNA (1240 nucleotides) under Vibrio fluvialis. RNAcentral describes it as "partial 23S ribosomal RNA". It matches the Rfam family "Bacterial large subunit ribosomal RNA", at positions 1574 to 2797 of the family's 2925-position model. The record is from RNAcentral. Lineage: Bacteria; Pseudomonadati; Pseudomonadota; Gammaproteobacteria; Vibrionales; Vibrionaceae.